Molecule: non-coding RNA, 1430 nt
Organism: Manis javanica (Malayan pangolin)
Lineage: Eukaryota; Metazoa; Chordata; Mammalia; Pholidota; Manidae
Source: RefSeq, a predicted model, not a curated record
CACUGGGCUGUUUAGUCUCAAUCUGCCAGCCCCAGGGGGAACUGGCUGCAAAUGGGUCCACAGGACCCAGAUAAAGCCUCAGGGAGUCCGGUUUAAGAUAGCGGGAUGGUGGCUUCCCGGCUAGAAGGGGGUACCCUGCAGGAGGAAGGUGAAGAAUGUAAUUGCCUAGAGGCGAGGUGAUUCAAUUCCUUCUCCAGCUGGAGAGGAAGAGAGAAGAAUGCUUAGAAAAACUGGUGGAACUGGUUUCUGCAGUAUGGCAGGCGUGAUUUGGGAGGAAGAAGGGGCAGGAGGGGCCUGGUGAUUCCCAGGGGAAGGGAGCCAGCACCCCGCCUUAGAGCCUCAGCCCGGAGCAAGUGACAGAACACAAACUGGACCGCACACCCUAACACGGGCUGGCAACUUGCAGGAGGGCAGCGGGCUGGAAGGAUUGGCGUCCGGCUCAAUGAACCGCGGGACAGAGCAACCAGAGAGCAUGGCCUCCUGCUGAUCCUGGCUCUCCCUGCCCCACCCCCUGGGGGACAGAUGAGAAAGGCGGCACUGCUGAUUCUGCUUUGCUGAGACCCUCGGACGGUGUAUGCGUUUCUCUUGAGUGUGAUCCGACAUCCUGGACCCCAAACACAAGGCUGCGAACUACUCUUGGUCUCAGCUGAAGCGCUGGUGAUCCCUUCCAAUGCCAGAGGAGGACACACCGUGUAAAAGGAGUCACAGCGCUGAGUAGUCACAGAAACUGCCUUGGUCAUCGUAUGUUUCAAGUUAACCUGACUAACCUGACAACUAAGAGGAAAAGAAUCCUAUGGAAGAGAGCUUUCUAGAUCACAGACUGACAGCUUUAGGAGAAGAAAACAAAGAGGACGUGCAAAAGAUAUUUUUUGCAGUUAAAUUUCAGGGAGAAAACUCUCCCAAGACAGGGAUGUCAGAGGCCAAACUGGAGGCCAGAAAUCUGAACACGAAACCAGCAGGUCCUCAUUUGGAGGACUUAAGGGUUCGGUGAUUGAGGGAUACCAAAUGAUGCUUGAAAGAAUUUCUGUCUGCUUAGAGGUUAAAUCAGCUGGUGACACCGUCCAGCCAUUUGGUCAAGCUGCAAAUGUGGCCACCGUCAGGACUGCUCACUCAUCCUCAUCCCCACAUCUGAGGCAUCGGCAAGGCUGUCGUUCCUGCCUCCCAGAUAUGCACACGUCUCAGUUCCGCCUGCCGCUCUCCAGACCCAAAACCACACAAUCUUCUGAGCCACCCUCAUGUCCCGCCUUUAUUCUCCCACUGACCUCCUUACCUGUCUUAUUUUCACUGCCGCCCCUGCUUCAUACAUUCUCCAUGGAACAGCCAGAGUAAACUCAAGAAAGAAAAUCCUGGAAGUUAAAAUGGCUCUUGAAUGAUGGUAAGGAUACUGGAAAAGUAAUUAUUCUACUGUUGAAAUUGACAAUUGCAAAAGU